CAAUAAGCGGAGGAAAAGAACCAACAGGGAUUGCCUCAGUAACGGCGAGUGAAGCGGCAACAGCUCAAAUUUGAAAUCUGGCUCUUUCAGGGUCCGAGUUGUAAUUUGUAUAGGAUGUUUCGGGUGUGGCUCCGGUCUAAGUUCCUUGGAACAGGACGUCAUAGAGGGUGAGAAUCCCGUAUGUGACUGGAAGCCUUCGUCCAUGUGAAACUCCUUCGACGAGUCGAGUUGUUUGGGAAUGCAGCUCAAAAUGGGUGGUAAAUUUCAUCUAAAGCUAAAUACUGGCCAGAGACCGAUAGCGCACAAGUAGAGUGAUCGAAAGAUGAAAAGCACUUUGGAAAGAGAGUUAAAAAGUACGUGAAAUUGUUGAAAGGGAAGCGCUUGCAACCAGACUUGCUCGCGGUUGCUCAGCCGGUGUUCUCACCGGUGCACUCUUCCGCGAUCAGGCCAGCAUCGGUUUGGGCGGCUGGAUAAAGGCUCUGGGAAUGUGGCUCCUCUCGGGGAGUGUUAUAGCCCAGGGUGCAAUGCAGCCUGUCCGGAUCGAGGACCGCGCUUCGGCUAGGAUGCUGGCGUAAUGGUUGUAAGCGACCCGUCUUGAAACACGGACCAAGGAGUCUAACAUCUAUGCGAGUGUUUGGGUGUCAAACCCAUGCGCGUAAUGAAAGUGAACGGAGGUGGGAACCCUUAAGGGUGCACCAUCGACCGAUCCUGAAGUCUUCGGAUGGAUUUGAGUAAGAGCAUAGCUGUUGGGACCCGAAAGAUGGUGAACUAUGCCUGAAUAGGGUGAAGCCAGAGGAAACUCUGGUGGAGGCUCGCAGCGGUUCUGACGUGCAAUCGAUC
RNAcentral lists this ribosomal RNA (840 nucleotides) under Sarea resinae. RNAcentral's name for it is "partial large subunit ribosomal RNA". It matches the Rfam family "Eukaryotic large subunit ribosomal RNA", at positions 44 to 903 of the family's 3401-position model. The record is from RNAcentral. Lineage: Eukaryota; Fungi; Ascomycota; Sareomycetes; Sareales; Zythiaceae.